This 295-nucleotide long non-coding RNA is filed under the name Pan troglodytes (chimpanzee). RNAcentral describes it as "long non-coding RNA NONPTRT004335". Lineage: Eukaryota; Metazoa; Chordata; Mammalia; Primates; Hominidae. The record is from RNAcentral.
CACCUUUGUUAUUAAACACAGGCUUUGAUGAUGACACAUUUCCCGUGUUCAUAACUUGUGAUUGGUGAAGAAACAGCUGAGGCCUAGAUAAGUUAUGUGCCCAAUGCCACACAGCUAGAAAGCUACAAAGCUGAAGUUUGAACCCAACUCAUCUUGGUCCAGAGUCUGUGCACAGAAGUCCUCAUACAUCCGGCACUCAGCCUGCUCUUGAGCAAAAGGUACAUGUCCAACUUAAGAAAGCGUUUACUACUAGAGAUCGCUGAAAAAAUCAUAAGUCAUCUCAAUCAGGUUGAAU